UGGAUUAGGCAUGCAAGUCGUACGCGAAAGAGGGAGCAAUCCCUUGAGUAGAGUGGCGAACGGGUGAGUAACGCGUGAGGAACCUGCCUUUGACAGGGGGAUAACACUCCCAACGGGGUGCUAAUACCGCAUGAGACCACGGGAUCGCAUGGUCCUGAGGUCAAAGAUGGCCUCUAUUUAUAAGCUAUCGGUCAGAGAUGGCCUCGCGUCCCAUUAGCUUGUUGGCGGUGUAAAAGACCACCAAGGCGACGAUGGGUAGCUGGUCUGAGAGGAUGGUCAGCCACACUGGGACUGAGAUACGGCCCAGACUCCUACGGGAGGCAGCAGUCGAGAGGCUUCGGCAAUGGGGGAAACCCUGACCGAGCGACGCCGCGUGGAGGAUGAAGGCCCUUGGGUUGUAAACUCCUUUUAUUCGGGAAGAAGUGCGAUCAGGUGAAUAAUCUGGUCGUUUGACGGUACCGGAUGAAUAAGCUCCGGCUAACUCCGUGCCAGCAGCCGCGGUA
This 503-nucleotide ribosomal RNA is filed under the name uncultured bacterium. RNAcentral describes it as "bacterial SSU rRNA". It matches the Rfam family "Bacterial small subunit ribosomal RNA", at positions 45 to 522 of the family's 1533-position model. The record is from RNAcentral.